AUUGAACGCUGGCGGAAUGCUUUACACAUGCAAGUCGAACGAUGAACCUUAGCUUGCUAAGGGGAUUAGUGGCGAACGGGUGAGUAAUGUAUCGGAACGUAUCCAAUAAUGGGGGAUAACUAGUCGAAAGAUUAGCUAAUACCGCAUACGUCCUACGGGAGAAAGCUAGGGACCUUCGGGCCUGGCGUUAAUGGAGCGGCCGAUAUCUGAUUAGCUAGUUGGUGGGAUAAAGGCACACCAAGGCGACGAUCAGUAGCUGGUCUGAGAGGACGAGCAGCCACACUGGAACUGAGACACGGUCCAGACUCCUACGGGAGGCAGCAGCGGGGAAUUUUGGACAAUGGGCGAAAGCAUGAUCCAGCCAUUCCGCGUGAGUGAAGAAGGCCUUCGGGUUGUAAAGCUCUUUCCCAAGAGAAGAAAACUUAAGCUCUAACAUAGCUUGAGGUUGACGGUACCUUGAUAAGAAGCACCGGCUAACUACGUGCCAGCCGCCGCCGUAA
RNAcentral lists this ribosomal RNA (500 nucleotides) under uncultured bacterium. RNAcentral's name for it is "partial 16S ribosomal RNA". It matches the Rfam family "Bacterial small subunit ribosomal RNA", at positions 30 to 523 of the family's 1533-position model. The record is from RNAcentral.